Molecule: microRNA precursor, 104 nt
Organism: Erinaceus europaeus (western European hedgehog)
Lineage: Eukaryota; Metazoa; Chordata; Mammalia; Eulipotyphla; Erinaceidae
Product: microRNA 216a
Source: Ensembl
GAUGGCUAUGAAUUGGUUUAAUCUCAGCUGGCAACUGUGCGAUAUUCAUACAAUCCCCCACAGUGGUCUCUGGGAUUAUGCCAAACAAAGCAAUUACCUUGUCC